This 324-nucleotide ribosomal RNA is filed under the name Kryptoperidinium foliaceum. Its description in RNAcentral is "partial Bacterial large subunit ribosomal RNA". It matches the Rfam family "Bacterial large subunit ribosomal RNA", at positions 432 to 759 of the family's 2925-position model. The record is from RNAcentral. Lineage: Eukaryota; Dinophyceae; Peridiniales; Kryptoperidiniaceae.
UCCUGUCUGAACAUGGGGGGACCACCCUCCAAGCCUAAAUACUCGUAUGUGACCGAUAGCGAACCAGUACCGUGAGGGAAAGGUGAAAAGAACCCCGGGAGGGGAGUGAAAUAGAUCCUGAAACCGUAUGCGUACAAGCAGUCGGAGCGGACUUGUUCCGUGACGGCGUACCUUUUGUAUAAUGGGUCAGCGACUUAUGUUCAGUGGCGAGGUUAACCGUUUAGGGGAGCCGUAGGGAAACCGAGUCUGAAUAGGGCGAUUUAGUCGCUGGGCAUAGACCCGAAACCGGGCGAUCUAUCCAUGAGCAGGUUGAAGGUUGAGUAA